GUGGCGAAAGGGGCAGUAAUGUAUGGGUAACCUACCUUGGGGUUCGGGAUAGCCAUUCUAACGGAUGGGUAACACUGAACGGCCUAAGUUGUUGGCAUCAAUAAUUUAGUAAAGGUUACGCCUCGAGAGGGGCCCAUAUGAUAUUAGCUAGUUGGUGAGGUAAUGGCUCACCAAGGCAAAGAUGUCUAGCGGGUGUGAGAGCACGACCCGCGUCAUUGGCACUGAGACACUGGCCAAACUCCUACGGGAGGCUGCAGUCGAGGAUCUUCGGCAAUGGACGAAAGUCUGACCGAGCAACGCCGCGUGUGCGAUGAAGGCCUUCGGGUUGUAAAGCACUGUCGAGGGGAAACAAGCCGUAAGGUUGAGUGACCCCUGGAGGAAGCACGGGCUAAGUUCGUGCCAGCAGCCGCGGUAAGACGAACCGUGCAAACGUUAUUCGGAAUCACUGGGCUUAAAGGGCGCGUAGGCGGGUGAUCAAGUCAAUGGUGAAAUCCUCCAGCUUAACUGGAGAAGUGCCUUUGAUACUGAUUGUCUAGAGGGAGGUAGGGGCAUGUGGAACUUCAGGUGGAGCGGUGAAAUGCGUAGAUAUCUGAAGGAACGCCAGUGGCGAAAGCGAUGUGCUGGACCUCUUCUGACGCUGAGGCGCGAAAGCUAGGGGAUCAAACGGGAUUAGAUACCCCGGUAGUCCUAGCCCUAAACUAUGGGUACUAGAUUGUGGACUUUCAUGGGUUCACAGUCGAAGCAAAAGUGUUAAGUACCCCGCCUGGGGAGUAUGGUCGCAAGGCUGAAACUCAAAGGAAUUGACGGGGGCUCACACAAG
This 820-nucleotide ribosomal RNA is filed under the name uncultured bacterium. RNAcentral's name for it is "bacterial SSU rRNA". It matches the Rfam family "Bacterial small subunit ribosomal RNA", at positions 95 to 929 of the family's 1533-position model. The record is from RNAcentral.